AUGGCACGCUCUGACUCCGGCGGCGAGCAGCAGAAGCACCACACCCUGCCCUCCUUCCUGCGCAAGGUGAAGAGCAACCUCGCGCGACCCGCCAAGAUCCUUGUCUUGAGCAGCGUCCUGAGGGUGGCGCUGCUGCUCCUGAUCGGGGAAGCGCUUGAGAUGCAUCCUACAGUCCGCUACCCCGCGAGGCACCUCUACCUGCUCUUGGAAUUCGUCUGUUCAUUGGCCGUCGUUGCGUCCGUGGCGGAGGGGCCUGGCAAGGGCACUGCCCUGUGGCGCGCGUGCCGGCUCAUGCAGAGGAAGUACUACAGUCAGUACGUGCUUUACUUGGCAGGGGUGCUGCUGAUCAGAACAGCGAUUUUGCUGGUGUGCGUCCUCGUCGUCGCCACGGUGGGCUUGCCGCCGACGGGUGGUGUGGUGGAUGCGAGCCUAACGUUCUUGCUGCCAAGUGCAAAGGAGGUGCUCUCUGUUGGUAAUGUGACCGGCUACUACUUCGCGUGCAGGGAGAGCGAUGAGCAGGAGAAGGACGCUGCGGCUCGAAUCUUGAUUAGAGAAUCUACUAGUAGUAAAAGCUUAUUGCGUUUCUACCUUGUUAAGUUUAUUACGUUUCUACCUUGGUAA
Molecule: ribosomal RNA, 621 nt
Filed under: Triticum aestivum (bread wheat)
Lineage: Eukaryota; Viridiplantae; Streptophyta; Magnoliopsida; Poales; Poaceae
Description: partial small subunit ribosomal RNA
Source: RNAcentral